RNAcentral lists this ribosomal RNA (916 nucleotides) under uncultured archaeon. RNAcentral describes it as "bacterial SSU rRNA". It matches the Rfam family "Archaeal small subunit ribosomal RNA", at positions 1 to 922 of the family's 1478-position model. The record is from RNAcentral.
UUUCCGGUUGAUCCCGCCGCCGGCCACCGCUAUCAAGUUCCGACUAAGCCAUGCGAGUCAAGGUAUCGUAAGAUGCCGGCAAACUGCUCAGUAACACGUGGAUAAUCUAACCUUGAGUAAGGGAUAACCUCGGGAAACUGAGGAUAAUACCUUAUAAUUGCUUAAAACUGGAAUGUUUAAGCAAUAAAAGUUCCGACGCUCAAGGAUGAGUCUGCGACCUAUCAGGUAGUAGGUGGUGUAAUGGACCACCUAGCCUCAGACGGGUACGGGCCCUGGGAGGGGUAGCCCGGAGAUGGACUCUGAGACAUCAGUCCAGGCCCUACGGGGCGCAGCAGGCGCGAACACUGUGCAAUGCGCGAAAGCGCGACACGGGGAGCUUGAGUGUCUUGGCAUAGCCAAGACUUUUCUCAUUCCUAAAAAGCAUGAGGAAUAAGUGCUGGGUAAGACGGGUGCCAGCCGCCGCGGUAACACCCGCAGCACAAGUGGUGGUCACUUUUAUUGAGCCUAAAGCGUUCGUAGCCGGUUUUGUAAAUCUUUAGAUAAAGCCUGAAGCUUAACUCCAGAAAGUCUGAAGAGACUGCAAGACUUGAGAUCGGGUGAGGUUAAACGUACUUUCAGGGUAGGGGUAAAAUCCUGUAAUCCCGGAAGGACGACCAGUGGCGAAAGCGUUUAACUAGAACGAAUCUGACGGUAAGGAACGAAGGCUAGGGUAGCAAACCGGAUUAGAUACCCGGGUAGUCCUAGCUGUAAACACUGCCCAUUUGAUGUUGCUUUUCCGUUGAGGGAAGGCAGUGUCGGAGCGAAGGUGUUAAAUGGGCCGCUUGGGAAGUAUGGUCGCAAGACUGAAACUUAAAGGAAUUGGCGGGGGAGCACCGCAACGGGAGGAAUGUGCGGUUUAAUUGGAUUCACCGCCGGA